Molecule: ribosomal RNA, 497 nt
Filed under: uncultured bacterium
Lineage: Bacteria
Description: partial 16S ribosomal RNA
Rfam family: Bacterial small subunit ribosomal RNA
Source: RNAcentral
GAUGAACGCUGGCGGCGUGCCUAAUACAUGCAAGUCGAGCGAACAGACGAGGAGCUUGCUCCUCUGACGUUAGCGGCGGACGGGUGAGUAACACGUGGAUAACCUACCUAUAAGACUGGGAUAACUUCGGGAAACCGGAGCUAAUACCGGCUCAUAUAUUGAACCGCAUGGUUCAAUAGUGAAAGACGGUUUUGCUGUCACUUAUAGAUGGAUCCGCGCCGCAUUAGCUAGUUGGUAAGGUAACGGCUUACCAAGGCAACGAUGCGUAGCCGACCUGAGAGGGUGAUCGGCCACACUGGAACUGAGACACGGUCCAGACUCCUACGGGAGGCAGCAGUAGGGAAUCUUCCGCAAUGGGCGAAAGCUUGACGGAGCAACGCCGCGUGAGUGAUGAAGGUCUUCGGAUCGUAAAACUCUGUUAUUAGGGAAGAACAAAUGUGUAAGUAACUAUGCACGUCUUGACGGUACCUAAUCAGAAAGCCACGGCUAACUACGUG